UAAUGGGAGACCUGGACUGCAUACGGCACUUCCCCAACGCCCACUUCCACCGCCAUUUAUGUCCCCUGGCCUCUCCACCUCCUCCGUCUUCAUCACCGCCGGGAAAAACCCUCCUCCUAUUCUCUCCCACAUCAAACACCCAAACCAGAACAAUCAACACCAAAAUUGCCAGUGCUGGGUACAGGAAGAAGGGGAAGAUGAAGAUGGCAGAGAUCUGACUCUCAGACCUCAUUUCUUGCUAGUAUAUACAUAUAUAUACACACACAUACAGUGAGAGUCGUAUACAUACCUAUGAUUCAAUCAGUUUCAGCAAAAGGGAAUAGCAAAAGAGAGACACUUUGCAGUUGUUCCGGCAGCCGCCGAUAAUUCACAGGCAGCGGCAGUGAGGAAUCAACUAGGAGAAAGCCAAAGCCUUAUCUGUUGGUUUUACC
Molecule: long non-coding RNA, 431 nt
Filed under: Malus domestica (apple)
Lineage: Eukaryota; Viridiplantae; Streptophyta; Magnoliopsida; Rosales; Rosaceae
Description: long non-coding RNA (MDOM_LNC004934)
Source: RNAcentral